This is a long non-coding RNA of Macaca mulatta (Rhesus monkey), 1559 nucleotides long. RefSeq lists it as uncharacterized. The record is from RefSeq and is a predicted model, not a curated record. NCBI's taxonomy places the organism in Eukaryota, Metazoa, Chordata, Mammalia, Primates, Cercopithecidae.
CCAUCUUCGGUGAAGCAUUCAGAAAGCAAGUGCCUGGGAAUAUUAUCUCAGGGAAUAUUCACAUUAAAGAAGUCAUAUAAUUCAAAAGAUGAAAAAUGCCAUGUAUCUCCUAUCCAAUAUGGUAAGUAACAGCUGAAAGUCAACUCUGGAUCAUCUGUAUAGUGGGGCGAUAAAGAGCAUAUAAAAUCAUAAAUAAACUCAGAGUGGUUUUUGUUUUGGAAUGGUUCCUGUACUUCCAUAUGAAUAAGACAGUGACUCACUCCCUUGGGAAUUCACAGUACAUCAAACCAAAUUAGGAAGCCAGGCAGCUGUGACCUGCUUUUGUAAGGGCCAAGAAAACUACAGAGUUUCACUACUGAACCUAGAACUCAAAAUGAUUCCCUGAUUCCCAUGCCAUUUGGGACAUGGGUGUAUCUUACUGACUCAUAAAAAAUGCCACUCUGGGCUUGUGUUUUCUCUUACCUUACCCAGAGUUGUAUGUGAGGAAAUAAAGGCUUGAGAGAUCUUGAGGUGGCAGUUUACAGGAGGGCAAAAGGAAACAGGAGUUAGAAUAAACAAUGUUAGUUAGUAACAACUUGGAUGCAAGACUGACCUCAUGCAAUCUCUAAGGUACAUUGAAUCGAAGGAGGGAGAGAGCUCUCAACAGCUUGUUCUCAGUCUGCUCCGCCUCCUGAAUACAUCUGUUCAUCUAAGAAAAGGAUUAAAUUCAAGAUAACCCUUGCCAUCUGCGUUCUGUCACAUGGUUAGGAUGAAGACUGACACAGGAGACAAGUGACGGCCUGCUCUGCGGCGUUCCCUAACUCAUGUCACUGUGGGCACAUUUCCUGAACCAUCACUUCUAAGCAGCCAGAAAGAGAAGGUUGUACUUUUGAAACAACAGCGUCCAAUUGAAAAAACCGGGCUGAAGUUUUCUGAACGUAUGGGACUCUUCUUUAUAAUUUGAACAAAGAAGAGGAGGAAAAUUACAGGGCCACCGCAGCACAGGGCAGGAGAGCUCCCUUCUGUCCUUCUGCUUCUCCUCAAACAAUCCAGCAAAAUGAUGCCUGCAAACACCACUCCAAAAGUGACCGGCACGCAUUCCAGCUGCUCGCCACACAAUCAGUCCUUUCUGUCCAGAAAAAGGCCUGGGAUUCAUGCUGGCUUUUGCGUAGUGCGUUUAGCGUCAUGCCGGCCCACUCCCCACGCCCUCGCGCCCACACAGAGAAAGAAAGAGAAACAUGGCAAGACGGGCUGUGCUCGGCUGAUUGUUAGGAAGGCAUUCAGGUACCAGGCUUCCAAGAUGUUUGGCCACGUUCAAGCUCAACUUUGGUGACAUAUUGCACAUCUGCGAUAUUUUUAUAAAUUACAAUAAUCCAAAAAUAAAUAAGAUAUGAAUAUGAAUUCUCUGAAAGAGAAAGAGGCAAUGUGAUGAUUAUAGUGAAAGGAGACAGUAUUGGAUGUUUUAAGCAUUUAGCCACAACUAAAAGACUUUGGCAUCUGGUUAGUGUUUCUCUUUUGUCACUUCCCUCCUGCUCAAUUUUCUUAUCAACCAUUAAAAAUGUAUUCAUUGCCCAACCACG